GAUGAACGCUAGCGGCAGGCUUAACACAUGCAAGUCGAGGGGCAGCGGGGACUUCGGUCCGCCGGCGACCGGCAAACGGGUGCGGAACACGUACGCAACUUACCCUUAUCUGGGGGAAUAGCCCGGUGAAAACCGGAUUAACACCUCAUGGUAUUAUUGAGAGGCAUCUUUUGGUAAUUAAAAAUUUAUUGGAUAAGGAUGGGCGUGCGUAAGAUUAGGUAGUUGGUGAGGUAACGGCUCACCAAGCCGACGAUCUUUAGCUGAUGUGAGAGCAUGAUCAGCCACACGGGCACUGAGACACGGGCCCGACUCCUACGGGAGGCAGCAGUGAGGACUAUUGGUCAAUGGGCGGAAGCCUGAACCAGCCAUGCCGCGUGAAGGACGAAGGCGUUCUGCGUUGUAAACUUCUUUUAUAAGGGAAGAAACCUACGAUUUCUAUUGUAGCCGACGGUACCUUAUGAAUAAGCACCGGCUAACUCCGUGCCAGCAGCCGCGG
RNAcentral lists this ribosomal RNA (496 nucleotides) under uncultured bacterium. Its description in RNAcentral is "bacterial SSU rRNA". It matches the Rfam family "Bacterial small subunit ribosomal RNA", at positions 28 to 520 of the family's 1533-position model. The record is from RNAcentral.